This 440-nucleotide ribosomal RNA is filed under the name uncultured bacterium. Its description in RNAcentral is "partial 16S ribosomal RNA". It matches the Rfam family "Bacterial small subunit ribosomal RNA", at positions 338 to 795 of the family's 1533-position model. The record is from RNAcentral.
CCUACGGGUGGCAGCAAUGGGGAAUAUUGCACAAUGGGGGAAACCCUGAUGCAGCGACGCCGCGUGAGUGAAGAAGUAUUUCGGUACGUAAAGCUCUAUCAGCAGGGAAGAAAAUGACGGUACCUGACUAAGAAGCCCCGGCUAACUACGUGCCAGCAGCCGCGGUAAUACGUAGGGGGCAAGCGUUAUCCGGAUUUACUGGGUGUAAAGGGAGCGUAGACGGCAGCGCAAGUCUGGAGUGAAAUCCCAUGGCUUAACCAUGGAACUGCUUUGGAAACUGUGCAGCUAGAGUGCAGUAGAGGUAAGCGGAAUUCCUAGUGUAGCGGUGAAAUGCGUAGAUAUUAGGAGGAACACCAGUGGCGAAGGCGGCUUACUGGACUGUAACUGACGUUGAGGCUCGAAAGCGUGGGGAGCAAACAGGAUUAGAUACCCGAGUAGUC